GAUUUCUGGUCUGGCGCGCCUGGCCCGCGGCGUUAGCUUGUGAGUGCCGGGUCGCGCCUGCCAUCCUUCUAGAAAACCUGUCUACCCUUCACUGGGCCGGACAGGCGAUCUAGAUCUUUUACUUUGAAAAAAUUAGAGUGUUUAAAGCAGGCUUUUGCUAUGAAUACAUUAGCAUGGAAUAAUAAUUUAGGACUUCGGUUCUAUUUUGUUGGUUUCUAGGACUGAAGUAAUGAUUGAUAGGGAUAGUUGGGGGUGCUAGUAUUCAGCGGCCAGAGGUGAAAUUCUCGGAUUCGCUGAAGACUAACUUAUGCGAAAGCAUU
This 320-nucleotide ribosomal RNA is filed under the name uncultured Allapsidae. Its description in RNAcentral is "SSU rRNA". The stretch from base 102 to 320 matches the Rfam family "Eukaryotic small subunit ribosomal RNA", at positions 735 to 955 of the family's 1831-position model. Lineage: Eukaryota; Cercozoa; Glissomonadida; Viridiraptoridae. The record is from RNAcentral.